Molecule: ribosomal RNA, 253 nt
Filed under: uncultured Eubacteriales bacterium
Lineage: Bacteria; Bacillati; Bacillota; Clostridia; Eubacteriales
Description: uncultured Clostridiales bacterium partial 16S ribosomal RNA
Rfam family: Bacterial small subunit ribosomal RNA
Source: RNAcentral
UACGUAGGGGGCAAGCGUUAUCCGGAUUUACUGGGUGUAAAGGGAGCGUAGACGGCGAUGCAAGUCUGAAGUGAAAGGCCGGGGCCCAACCCCGGGACCGCUCUGGAAACUGCCCGGCUGGAGUGCGGGAGAGGUAAGCGGAAUUCCUAGUGUAGCGGUGAAAUGCGUAGAUAUAUGGAAGAACACCAGUGGCGAAGGCGGCUCUCUGGUCUGCAACUGACGCUGAGGCUCGAAAGCAUGGGUAGCGAACAGG